Long non-coding RNA from Mangifera indica (mango), 1104 nucleotides. RefSeq lists it as uncharacterized. The transcript is spliced from 2 exons. The record is from RefSeq and is a predicted model, not a curated record. Lineage: Eukaryota; Viridiplantae; Streptophyta; Magnoliopsida; Sapindales; Anacardiaceae.
AUCAAUUUGAAAAAAAAAAGUGGAAAUAGAAAAAACAAAACCAAUAAGAAUACAGAUAUUGGGAAAUGAUGUGGCCAAAAUAGAGAGGCAAAGGGCGGUACAGAUAAGAAGGAGAGUAAGAAAGUGUAGACAGAUGUGAGAAUGAGAAUGAGAAGAAACAAGGUUAAGGUGAAGAUGUUCUAAAAAUAGAAUAAGAAAGAAUGAUCAUAAUAAUUCUGGAGAGAAAGGAACGCAAAAAGAGGAACCAACCACAUUGGUUUACAUAAAAUUUUCUUCUUACAGGCAGGGAAGCGGUUGAAAUGUGUGAUUUGGACUGUGUGCGUAUGCGGUUGAAAACGUUUUAGGUUAUAAUCUCUUAUCCUGUGAGCAAAGCUUUAAUCAUCAUUAAUCCCUUUCUCCUCCUCCUCACCCCCCCUCUCACCAUUACAUUCGUUAUUCAACCUUUUUGAUUCAGUUUAACUACCAAUCUUCUGAGGCUCAAGGAAUGGAGAAGGAGACCAGGAAGAGACGAAGAGGAGAACUGGAAGAGGAGAAUAAAGAGUUGUUUGUGAAGAAUGCAGCAAAGAAGGAAGAUGAUGUUAAUUAUGAUGAAAGUGACAGAUCCAUUUCAUUAGGAGUGUUUGAUUUCCCAUGGCUGCAUGAGCACGACGAAGGAAUCAUAUCAGAGUUAUCAGACGAGUACUGGAAUUUCCAGGACAGCUUCUCAUCCUCAUUGGAUGACACUUGCCCGCAGACAGAAGUUGAAUUUUCCAGACAAUUCUUGUAUGAGAUUCCAACAUCUAAUUCAUCAAUGAGUUUAAGAGUUCCAGAUAAUAAGUUUGAGGAGAGUGUGGAUUGCAUUUGGAGCUCCCUCCAUAAUCAGCCGCUUCAGCCUAAUGACUAGCACGCUUUUGCAUUCCAUGUUAACUAUAUAUUACCAUAAAAUUUUAAUUAGAAAUUUGGUUGGUAUUUUUAUUACAAAAUAGGCUGCCCUCGCAAAGAAUGUUUUGGCAGACUACAGUAAAAUAGGCCUGAGGUAAAUCAUUUUCUCUUUUGUUUACCAUUUUUGUUUUUGAUGUUCUGGGCAUUCCUUUGCCCAGUUAUAUUACAGUUUCUUUUCUGCUA